AGUGAACGCUGGCGGUAGGCCUAACACAUGCAAGUCGAACGGCAGCACAGUAAGAGCUUCCUCUUACUGGUGGCGGGUGGCGGACGGGUUAGGAAUACAUCGGAAUCUAGUGUUUCAUUGGUGGAAAGGUAGGGAAAUUCACCAUACGACCUAUGACUGCCAACGGGGGACAGCAGGGCAUCUCCGGACUUGAGCGGCUGAAGUCAGCCGAUGUCGGUUUAGGUAGUAGGCGGGGUAAAGGCCCACCAAGGCGACGAUCCGUAGCUGGUCUGAGAGGAUGAUCAGCCACACUGGAACUGAGACACGGCCCAGACUCCUACGGGAGGCAGCAGUGGGGAAUAUUGGACAAUGGGCGCAAGCCUGAUCCAGCAAUACCGCGUGCGUGAAGAAGGCCUUCGGGUUGUAAAGCCCUUUUGUUGGGAAAGAAAAGCAGCAGGUUAAUACCCCGCUGUUAUGACGGUACCCAAAGAAUAAGCACCGGCUAACUUCGUG
This 492-nucleotide ribosomal RNA is filed under the name uncultured bacterium. RNAcentral's name for it is "partial 16S ribosomal RNA". It matches the Rfam family "Bacterial small subunit ribosomal RNA", at positions 29 to 507 of the family's 1533-position model. The record is from RNAcentral.